GCCCUCGUAGAUCAACGGUAGAUCUCCUUCCAUUAGCAUUGGUUUGCUUGCCACUAUGGAGGCCAUGUGGGUUCAACUCCCACCGUGGGCA
Mycena maculata is the source of this 91-nucleotide non-coding RNA. Lineage: Eukaryota; Fungi; Basidiomycota; Agaricomycetes; Agaricales; Mycenaceae. The record is from the annotation of a GenBank genome assembly.